CUAAAACACAUAAAGCUUGUGGAUACGUGAUAUUGUUGUGUUUUUUAAGACAUAAGUGUGGGCAAACAUGCAUCAAAAUUAUGCGUUGAGAAAGUCUUUUAAAAAGUACUAAGUUUGUGUGGUCUGUGGUGUUGAAUACUUUGUUUGUGGCUUUGUGAGCCAUUUGAUUGAGAAGAUUUGUGCAAGUUAGGGAAGGCUAAUAUUGAAGUUCUUUUUUAGGAGUCUCGUGUCAUUACGUGUGUUAUGGGUGAUUUGUUUGAUCAUCGUUCCAUUAUGGAUUUCUUGCUUCGAGACUGUCGGCAAUGGUUGACAUCUGAUACUGCUAUAUCUGUUUCCCCAUCUUAAAUUUAUUUGGCAGCAAGUAAGGGGGAGUACUUUGUUCCAACGUUUCCAAUUCACAUUUUUUUUGUUGCUUUUGUUUAUUCCUUUCACUAUUAAUGAAUCUCUAUAUUUUGGUUAAUGGAUCUCUACUGCUUUGUUACUUCUGGAUCUGGAUGUGGUUUGGCAGUUUUUGUUACUUAUUAUGUGGUUUGCUUUCGAAUUGUCGUUCAUUAUAACUAUCUAUAUGGCAGCUUCUGUUUCUAUACUUCUGGUUAUUGUUAUGCUUGUUUGCUCAAAUAAAGUAAGUUGGUCUCAAUGAGGAGUUUGUUAGUUAUGUGAUCCCACUUCCUUUAUUUGUUUUAAUAAAUGUAAUUCAGCUGGGAUUUUGUUAUUGAGAUUGUUUGGCUGCUUGUUAUGAUAUCUCAUUAUCAUUCUCGGGUGAUUUGGAUUGGAUUUCUCAAUUGAUGGUUACUUGAGAUUAUUGGAUGAAUAGUUUUAUGGGUGUUGAGAGAAAAAGGGAUUUUCAUUUUCUCGAUUUUGUGUGAUUGGCAAUAUAUUUAAACUUGUAGUAAGUUUCGUCGUGCUCCUUUAAGAACCUAUGGGUUAUGAUACCGCAUACUAAAGAUAAGAGAUUAAUUAAAAAGCAAUUCAAGAUGGCUUGACAAUGAUAUGCAAGUGGUCAUUUAUUCAGCGAGUCGAGUUGUCCUUAUUAAUGCUAUGACAAACUGCAUUUACAUAGUUCUUAGUUCUCAUGUUUAAUUUGUGAGUUAGUCCAUGGCCAGCAUGUUAAUUCAUGUUUAGAGUGUUGC
RNAcentral lists this long non-coding RNA (1130 nucleotides) under Cucumis sativus (cucumber). RNAcentral describes it as "long non-coding RNA (CSAT_LNC001057)". Lineage: Eukaryota; Viridiplantae; Streptophyta; Magnoliopsida; Cucurbitales; Cucurbitaceae. The record is from RNAcentral.